This 86-nucleotide ribosomal RNA is filed under the name Triticum dicoccoides. RNAcentral describes it as "rRNA SSU_rRNA_eukarya". It matches the Rfam family "Bacterial small subunit ribosomal RNA", at positions 650 to 735 of the family's 1533-position model. Lineage: Eukaryota; Viridiplantae; Streptophyta; Magnoliopsida; Poales; Poaceae. The record is from RNAcentral.
GACAGAGGAGAGUGGAAUUUCGUGUGUAGGGGUGAAAUCCGUAGAUCUACGAAGGAACGCCAAAAGCGUAGGCAGCUCUCUGGGUC